Molecule: ribosomal RNA, 464 nt
Filed under: Vreelandella stevensii
Lineage: Bacteria; Pseudomonadati; Pseudomonadota; Gammaproteobacteria; Oceanospirillales; Halomonadaceae
Description: partial 16S ribosomal RNA
Rfam family: Bacterial small subunit ribosomal RNA
Source: RNAcentral
CCUACGUGCGGCAGCAGUGGGGAAUAUUGGACAAUGGGCGAAAGCCUGAUCCAGCCAUGCCGCGUGUGUGAAGAAGGCCUUCGGGUUGUAAAGCACUUUCAGUGGGGAAGAAAGCCUUGGGGCUAAUACCCUCGAGGAAGGACAUCACCCACAGAAGAAGCACCGGCUAACUCCGUGCCAGCAGCCGCGGUAAUACGGAGGGUGCGAGCGUUAAUCGGAAUUACUGGGCGUAAAGCGCGCGUAGGCGGUCUGAUAAGCCGGUUGUGAAAGCCCCGGGCUCAACCUGGGAACGGCAUCCGGAACUGUCAGGCUAGAGGGCAGAGAGGAAGGUAGAAUUCCCGGUGUAGCGGUGAAAUGCGUAGAGAUCGGGAGGAAUACCAGUGGCGAAGGCGGCCUUCUGGACUGACACUGACGCUGAGGUGCGAAAGCGUGGGUAGCAAACAGGAUUAGAUACCCCGGUAGUC